AUGUGUCGACCGCAACUCAUCGUGGCAGAAGUGCGUCCGAAGACCGCCGUCGAGGCCCUUGGACACAUAAAAGUACACCGCCGUCUGUUCGGUCAGGGCGACGUUGGCGAGGACGAGAAUGCCGAAGGGGCCGAGGGCGCCGCGGGUGGCUGCACCACUGGUCAUGGUGCAGUUGUAGCCGACGUCGACCUCGUUGAGGGCCUCAAUGGCGGAGGCGUUGAUGCGGAAGGAUGCCUCGAUGUCGAGUUGGGAGGUCUGGUGGAGGGGGAGGGAGACGACGGAUCCGGCACCGACAGUGAUGCCGCUGAGAUCGGUGGUGUUGAUGCGGAGGGUAUCGAGCUCCUCCACCGGCCAUUGGAUGAGGUUCGUCCGGGUCUUCUCGUCAAGCUCCACCGUUCUCGGAAUCGACUGCAUGCACAAAACACGAUAUUAAUCCAGUUGGUUCAGUAA
RNAcentral lists this ribosomal RNA (450 nucleotides) under Triticum aestivum (bread wheat). RNAcentral describes it as "partial small subunit ribosomal RNA". Lineage: Eukaryota; Viridiplantae; Streptophyta; Magnoliopsida; Poales; Poaceae. The record is from RNAcentral.